This is a non-coding RNA of Drosophila melanogaster (fruit fly), 820 nucleotides long. NCBI's taxonomy places the organism in Eukaryota, Metazoa, Arthropoda, Insecta, Diptera, Drosophilidae. The record is from Ensembl.
AUAAACAUGGAAGCGAAAAAAAUGAUAGCGAGGAAAUUGAAAUUUCCUGGCUGGAUUACCUGGAACAUUGGCAAAUGAAAACAAACGCAUUCGAUCGAACAGAUGAGCUCAUUAUUGAAUCUCAACCGAGUGCAACGAAUCAAUUCGAAACGAGAAAGAUGCAGCCAGGACAUAAAUCCUAUUAGAAACCCAAUCAACCGUUUCAAAUGGGAUACACGUUCCUGCUUGAUCCUGUCCUCGUUUCAGAUCCUUUCAAUUUUCGGGUCAAAGAAUCGGAGAAGCGUUACAAAUCGGAUGCCAUAUGUGCGAGGGCUGGGACUGUGGCUCAGAUAGUUCAACCUACUAAGCUUAAUAUGAACUCUAGUUAUAUCUUUUAGAUGGUUAGAAAUCACGAUCGGCAAUCAAUGUUGGUGGCCCUCGACUAAGGCCAAUUUGUCGGCAAUUUGAAAGCAAAUUGAAAGUGUCUAUGUAACAAUUUUCGUGGCCCAUGGAGAGAAAGGACACGCAGGACUACCCACAUAGAUCACAAAAGGCGGACCAAAGCGAGAAUCGGAGAAGAGGAAACUGCUACUUUUCGCACAAUGCUCGGGCGCAUGAAAAGAGACACCUCCGAACUAUUCCCUUGUCACUACUAUGUAUCCCCGAUCCUGGGUGCCCGACAAGCCGACGCAUCCGUCACCUGGUGCGAUUAGCAGUCACAAUGGUGAGCGGCUACGGCAGGAUCAAAGCGGAAAAUUCAUUUGGCUUGGUGGUCUUCGUCUCGGUUUCGCUUUUGAUCUCCGCACAAACGAUCCUUUAUAUCGCUCAACACGAAUUUACU